GAAAAUCUUCAGGGCAAGGUGAAAUUCCUGACCGGCGGUAAUGGCGAUGGCGAACCAUCGUCUGAGCCCGCGACUCGUGGACCGUGACGGUUUGCGACUGAUCUGGUGCAACUCCAGAGCCGACGGUAAAGUCCGGAUGGAAGAAGAGCUGA
Molecule: non-coding RNA, 152 nt
Filed under: Brevibacillus sp.
Lineage: Bacteria; Bacillati; Bacillota; Bacilli; Caryophanales; Paenibacillaceae
Description: FMN sequence
Rfam family: FMN riboswitch aptamer (RFN element)
About the family: The RFN element is a highly conserved domain that is found frequently in the 5'-untranslated regions of prokaryotic mRNAs that encode for flavin mononucleotide (FMN) biosynthesis and transport proteins. This element is a metabolite-dependent riboswitch that directly binds FMN in the absence of proteins.
Source: RNAcentral